AGGAGUGUAGCUCAGUUGGUAGAGCAUCGGUCUCCAAAACCGAGUGCCGGGGGUUCGAGUCCCUCCUCUCCUGCCA
Molecule: transfer RNA, 76 nt
Filed under: Thalassospira lucentensis
Lineage: Bacteria; Pseudomonadati; Pseudomonadota; Alphaproteobacteria; Rhodospirillales; Thalassospiraceae
Also listed under: 5 other names
Description: tRNA-Trp
Rfam family: tRNA
About the family: Transfer RNA (tRNA) molecules are approximately 80 nucleotides in length. Their secondary structure includes four short double-helical elements and three loops (D, anti-codon, and T loops). Further hydrogen bonds mediate the characteristic L-shaped molecular structure. tRNAs have two regions of fundamental functional importance: the anti-codon, which is responsible for specific mRNA codon recognition, and the 3' end, to which the tRNAs corresponding amino acid is attached (by aminoacyl-tRNA synthetases). tRNAs cope with the degeneracy of the genetic code in two manners: having more than one tRNA (with a specific anti-codon) for a particular amino acid; and 'wobble' base-pairing, i.e. permitting non-standard base-pairing at the 3rd anti-codon position.
Source: RNAcentral